GACGAACGCUGGCGGCGUGCUUAACACAUGCAAGUCGAACGGAAAGGCCUGCUUUCCCUUGUGGAUUGCGGGUACUCGAGUGGCGAACGGGUGGGUAACACGUGAGUGAUCUGCCCCCAACUUGGGUAUAAGCCUGGGAAACUGGGUCUAAUUCCCGAUAGGACUGCAGGGUGGUGCCUGUGGUGGAACACGAUUUUCUAGUGGUUGGGGAUGAGCUCGCGGCCUAUCAGCUUGUUGGUGGGGUAAUGGCCUACCAAGGCGGCGACGGGUAGCCGGCCUGAGAGGGUGGACGGCCACAUUGGGACUGAGAUACGGCCCAGACUCCUACGGGAGGCAGCAGUGGGGAAUAUUGCACAAUGGGCGGAAGCCUGAUGCAGCGACGCCGCGUGGGGGAUGACGGCCUUCGGGUUGUAAACUCCUUUCGACCGCGAGGAAGCCACCUGGUUGGAAGGGUGGUGACGGUAGUGGUAGAAGAAGCACCGGCUAACUACGUG
This 494-nucleotide ribosomal RNA is filed under the name uncultured bacterium. RNAcentral describes it as "partial 16S ribosomal RNA". It matches the Rfam family "Bacterial small subunit ribosomal RNA", at positions 28 to 507 of the family's 1533-position model. The record is from RNAcentral.